UAUGCGAUGUCGCAUGUCUGGACUUGUUCAGUGUUGCAAUUUUUACCCUUCGUUAAUAUCUUGUUGUUGUUGUCGUCUUGUGUUAGACGUUGAGCUUCGUAGCGAUGUGCGGUAACGCUACGAUUAUUCCUGAGCGCUCCGUGUGUUUAAUGCGUUGUCCUCUUUGCGUGCAUGCGUGUGCUUUUUUUCUCCUGAUUUGUGACGUCCUCGUGGCAUGUCUGGACUUGUUUAGCAGUGUUGCAGUUCUUCCCGCUGCUAGUAUCUUGUUGGUGUCAUGUUGUGCUAGCCGCGUGGCGAUGUGUGGUGACCUGAGGUCUUAAGCCUUUUCCCUGCUCACCUAAGGAAAUUUGUGUAUCCCUGUCCUGUGCUUUCUUUACGCAAGGGUAAUGCGACUGUGUAUGUGGCAUUAUGCAAGAAUUAUCUGGUGGCAGAAAUAGGCGUAUUUUUCUCAGUGUAUUGGCGUGCGCUACGGUUUCUUGCAGUUACAGCUAUUGGAGCACACAUACGUGUAAUUUUUCGCGGUUCUUUUCUCCUUUCACGGCUUUUACUCAGAAUGUAGAUGAGGGGAAACAGUCAGCAUCCAGGUAGAGCAGGAGAAAGCCGCUCGGCAGAGGAGAGAGUUCAUGAGAAUGGAAUUUGUUUGUUUGUUUUUUGUUAUAUGUUGAGUGUUAGUAUUCGCUUUCCUCGAUAUGUUGAGGAAGUCAGCCGUUAUAGGUAUUUGUGCAGAAAUGCUGGUAUCUGAGUGUGUGGAGUAGAAAUUCCUAUAAAGCACCUCUCCUUGUGCAUUCCUGAGCUGCUGUGUGCGCGCGCGUGCUUCUUUUUCCUGGAUUGCGACGUCAUGAUGGCAUGUUGGGGCUUGUUUAGCAGUGUUGCAAUUUUACCCGCUGCUAUUAUCUUGUUAUCUUGUGUUAGCCGCGUAGCGAUAAGCGGUGAUUCUCCGAUUAUUCCUGAGGUCUUAAGCCUUUUCCCUGCUCACCUAAGGAAAUUUGUGUAUCCCUGUCCUGUGCUUUCUUUGCGACAAUGCGUCUGUGUAUGUGGCACUAUCAGAUACCAGACAUGAGUGUCCUUUUCUUGGUUUAUUGGCAUAUGCUUCAGGUUUUUUUAAGUCAAGCACAAGUGCGCGCAAUUUUUCGCUGCUCUCUUCCUCAGAUCACCGAUUUUACGAAGAAGACAGUCGCAUGGUACAGCUGAGAAGAGGGUUUCUCUGAUUGUUUGUUUGAUUUUGUUGGGUGUUCGAUAUGUUGAGGAAGUCAGCUGUUAAAGGUAUCCGUGAAGAAAUGCUUGCACCUGAGCGCAGGAUAGGAAUUCCUGAAGCACGGCACCCUCAGUGUAAAUUAAUUAUGUUGGAUAUGAGUCUGCUUCCCUGCAUGACAAGGCUGAAAUGGGAAGAGAGAAAAAAUUGGAGCGCUUCAUUAGUAGCGAUCCAAGUAAUAGGGCAAUUAUAGUUUCCAUAGAAAGUAGAAUUUUAAUGGGCUCCUAAAAUUAUAGUUUAGUUGUAGUUUUUCUAAACUGCAAUGCAAUAAUCAUUAAUAUAGUAUAGGAAUGCUAUCGUGUUCCCGUAAAGGCGUUCUGUCUUGUGCUUUGGAAUGCGCGAAUAGAACUUUGCUCGCAGCCUUUCCCGCCUUCAUGCUCGCAAUGCGCGAAUGGAACUUUGCCCACCCGGCUUCCGCGCCUUUUUUGCUCGCGGGUGUAGCCUCAGACAACGAAUGUAUGAGCAUAGAAAGGGUCACGUAUUACAUAAGCCUGGAGGUGAUGUUGAGUGGUCUCACUUAUUAUUUUAAAAGAGCAGUGGCAGUUUACUGUAAUUCUAAUGACCAUGAUGAGCCUUUGGGGUGAAAAUCGUUAAUAUGCGGGUGCUUUUUUGUUGAAUUUUAAUGAGAGAAUCAAUGUCAUUAAGAGUAGGACAAAGGAAAUAAUCUUGCGAUUCAAUAAUUAAUAGAAGUCUUUGCCGCUGUCUUCUUCUUCUUCAGACAGGAUGUGAUGACGACACGCAGUCUGUAGCAAUGCAUUGACCGUCACUGGAAAAAAAGUGUAGCAAUAGAAAAAUGGUUGACCUUGUCUAGAGGAGCAUUAGUGGAAAAAAACUGUGUAGCCCUGAGACAAUAGGAUGCCGUUACGACCAAUGAGAACGGCCUGCAGGGGGCGCAAGGAUUCACUUCUCUCUUGGACACUGACGGGUCUCGACACGCAAAUUCUGCUCCUGGCGUUGGCCGUCAGUGGAAGAGCGUAGCUUAGGUGGAUUUUGUGACGAGCGGAUUUACAAUGAGGGAAUGCUGUGAACGGGAAAAAUGAUGAGCUGUCCUAACUUGCCCAGACAUGCCAUGAUGACGUCACAGCUGACGUCACAGGAUGUCCGGAACUUGUGGUCAUAGCUGGGAUGCUUUGCAACCUGCCUCUGUGCUCCGUCGCCCGGCGAUGGUCAGCGGCCUUUCCGGGCCGCUUCCUUCAAGAUGGCGUCGUUGAUCUUCAACUAAACUCCUUCUCUCCACUCUAUCUCUAUCUAUUUUUUUAUUUUUUAUGACCACGUUUAUCCGGAAACGCACAGGGUGGUCUGGACACUAGUUAGACGCUCCCCAAUUAGUGUGAUGACUCAUUGGAUGAUGCUGAUUAAUGUGGGGGGUCCCAAUUAGCUCUAAUUGCUAAUUAAUGGCGUCCAGAAGCCUUGUAGCGUUUCCGGAUAAGCGUGGUCAGUACUUACUACUUACG
Ornithodoros turicata is the source of this 2706-nucleotide long non-coding RNA. RefSeq lists it as uncharacterized. Lineage: Eukaryota; Metazoa; Arthropoda; Arachnida; Ixodida; Argasidae. The transcript has 4 exons. The record is from RefSeq and is a predicted model, not a curated record.